Cydia amplana is the source of this 230-nucleotide long non-coding RNA. RefSeq lists it as uncharacterized. The transcript is spliced from 2 exons. The record is from RefSeq and is a predicted model, not a curated record. NCBI's taxonomy places the organism in Eukaryota, Metazoa, Arthropoda, Insecta, Lepidoptera, Tortricidae.
AUUUCCUCCCGCGGACGCUCCUGCUGUGGAAUGAGCUCCCUUCCGAGGUUUUCCCGAGGGUCUACAGUAUGGGGUUCUUCAAAAAAGGAGUGUACAGGUUUUUAAAAGGUCGGCAACGCGCAUGUAACACCUCUGGAGUUGCAGGCGUCCAUAGGCUACGGUGACUGCUUACCAUCAGGCGGCCCUAAUGGUUGUUUGCCACCGAUGUGGUAUAAAAAAAUAAAAUAAAA